CCUGCCGUUUAGGCUACUGCACCUCCCAACCCCACUGCCGUCGCUGCCACUGCUGCUGUGUUGCUAAUUCCCGCCGCCGCCGUGCCUGCCGUUUAGGCUACUGCACCUCCCAGCCCCAACGCCGUCGCUGCCGCUGUUGCUGUGUUGCUAUUUCCCGCCGCCGCCACGCCUGCCGUUUAGGCUACUGCACCUCCCAACCCCACUGCCGUCGCUGCCACUGCUGCUGCGUUGCUAUUUCCCGCCGCUGCCGCGCCUGCUGGACUUGCAUUUCUGGACUGGCGAGAAUUUUGAAAAUUUUGUUUCACCGAAAUGGCAUCCCUGGAUCACACUUGCGAUUUAUUGUAUGUGCUGCUACUACUACUACUACUACUACUUGUAUGUAUAUAGUAGUACUGGUACUACCCUUUAGUAUAAUAGUAGUAGGUAUAUAGUCAGAGAAAGAAAAAUGACUUCCAUGCCAGAGUUGAACUGGCAGCCACAGCAAUACCAAAAUAGUGUUUGUAUGUUCUCUGUGGCUACAUCACUUGGAAGAGAGUGAAAAGAGAAAAGAUUGGAUGGCCAAUUGGAUGUGGCCCAUUUUUGUAAAAUAAAGGCCCUCCCUAAUGCACCUCCCAGCCCCAACGCCGUCGCUGCCGCUGCUACUCCGUUGCUAAUUCCCACCGCCGCCGUGCCUGCUGUUGAGAGUAAUGGCCCUCCCAGCCCCACCUUCGUCGCUGCCACUGCUGCUGGGUUGCUAAUUCCCGCCGCCGCCGCGCCUGCCGUUUAGGCUACUGCACCUCCCAGCCCCAACACUGUCGCUGCCGCUGCUGCUGCGUUGCUAUUUCCUGCCACCGCCGUGCCUGCCAUUUAGGCUACUGCACCUCCCAGCCCCAACGCAGUCGCUGCCGCUGCUACUCCGUUGC
Molecule: long non-coding RNA, 902 nt
Filed under: Volvox carteri
Lineage: Eukaryota; Viridiplantae; Chlorophyta; Chlorophyceae; Chlamydomonadales; Volvocaceae
Description: long non-coding RNA (VCAR_LNC003264)
Source: RNAcentral